This 259-nucleotide ribosomal RNA is filed under the name uncultured bacterium. RNAcentral's name for it is "partial 16S ribosomal RNA". It matches the Rfam family "Bacterial small subunit ribosomal RNA", at positions 524 to 776 of the family's 1533-position model. The record is from RNAcentral.
UACGAAGGGCCCGGGUGUUACUCGUUUUGAUUGGGUGUAAAGGGUAAGUAGGCGGUUCACUAAGAUAAUCUUUGGUCAAAGCGCGGAGUGUUCCUACGCGAAAGCCCGAGUUGAAGAGUGUGACUAGUGUUGAAAAGGGGUUGAGGCAAAUUCAUACGUAAGGGUAGAAUCUUGCGAUGUAUGAAUGAACGCCAGCUGGCACAGGCGCUUUUCCUGUUUCAACAGACGCUGAGGUACGGAAGCGUAGGGAGCAAACAGG